RNAcentral lists this transfer RNA (73 nucleotides) under Stegodyphus mimosarum. It matches the Rfam family "tRNA". From Rfam's summary of the family: Transfer RNA (tRNA) molecules are approximately 80 nucleotides in length. The record is from Rfam by way of RNAcentral. Lineage: Eukaryota; Metazoa; Arthropoda; Arachnida; Araneae; Eresidae.
GCCUUCGUGGUGUAGUGGUCAGCACGCUGGGCGCGUAUUCCAGAGGUCCGUGGUUCGAAUCCCGGCGAAGCCG